CCGGCCGCCCAUCGUCUGAGAUGUGGGGAGCGCCUCUGCCCCUCCGCCCCAUCUGGGAUGUGAGGAGCGCCUCUGCCCGGCCGAGACCCCGUCUGGGAGGUGAGGAGCGUCUCUGCCCGGCCGCCCCGUCUGAGAAGUGAGGAGACCCUCUGCCUGGCAACCACCCCGUCUGAGAAGUGAGGAGCCCCUCCGCCCGGCAGCUGCCCCGUCUGAGAAGCCUGGCGUGGUGGUCACACCUGUAAUCCCAGCACUUUGCAAGGCCGAGGCGGGUGGAUCACCUGAGAUCGGGAGUUCAAGACCAGCCUGACCAACAUGGUGAAAUCCCAUCUCUACUAAAAAUACUCAGGAAGUUGCUUCCUCUGCUAAGCAUAGAGGACCAAGGGGAAGGGAGCUGGGGUUGAAUGUGAGCCUGCCUGGACAGUGUUCUAACCAAGGAACCCAGCGGGAACAGAUGUGUCUU
Molecule: long non-coding RNA, 460 nt
Filed under: Homo sapiens (human)
Lineage: Eukaryota; Metazoa; Chordata; Mammalia; Primates; Hominidae
Description: PREDICTED lncRNA (TCONS_00033080)
Source: RNAcentral